Molecule: long non-coding RNA, 1405 nt
Organism: Brienomyrus brachyistius
Lineage: Eukaryota; Metazoa; Chordata; Actinopteri; Osteoglossiformes; Mormyridae
Exons: 4
Source: RefSeq, a predicted model, not a curated record
CCUAGUUCUUUCUCACAACUAACACCCAAAGAUAACCGAUUAACUGAGCUUAAUAAGCGUAUAAUGAAUUAUAAACCGGGCUGUGCGCGCGGCACGUGCUCACACUCGUGUAGGCGGGAAGUGAAUCAACUCCUGCGCGAGGCAUCGGCGCUUUAGCCACCGAGGACGAACCGAAAAGUGAAAACUUAAUCUAAAAACGGUCAAACUGUUUACGCCAAAGCCUGCUCUGUGGCGAAUGAGGUCUCGAAGUACUGCCCUUUAGGCAAACAUGUUUAAACGGUCAAUUAAAAGGUUAUGAAAUCCUACGAUACAACCCGACGAUCGAUGACAUUUGUGCAGUGCGGGUGGCUGCUGAGUGACAUCCUGGUCAUUGUGUCUCCUGCUUUGUGCUGUCUGCUUCCUGAGGUGGGAUCCAGGCUCAGUGCUCACCUAUGUUAAGUAAAACAGUUCUGUGUAAAGGAAGUCUGAAUUCCAGAUAUGGAACCUGUUGUCCUAGGUAUAAGGAAUAAAUAUCUAAAUAAUGUUCGGACGCACCCACAUAUUCGUGAACAAUUUUUUCUCCUGACUGUCUGUCUCCUGACUCACACCUGUCUUUGUGAGUUCAAAGUUUACUUGAGGACAAUAGAGAAAUUACAUUACAAAGGCAGUCAAUGGGACUGAUCCCUCCGGUGAACGACCUCUGCCUGCCCUUCGACUGUUCUUUUGGAUCGCCCUGUCGGACUUGAUUACCCACGGUUAAUUUAAUAAACCGUUUAGCCACUGCACUUCGGGGUCCUCCACUCCUGCUGUACAUCACAGCCUUGUCUUACUUGAAUACUACACUACACAUCCCUUAAUCAUAUGAAGACAGCAUUUCAUACAUUGCUUGAAAAAAUGGAACUUAACAGUAACAGCCAGAUAAUAUGAGAACACUAAGAACACUGAUGCCUUUGAACACCAGUCUGUUAUGUAUACCAGCAUCCACCCAUGAAUGCCCAGUGGUUGGGGUCUUCUAGGUGAUGCUUUGAAGAUUUUAAUAUAGUAAAUUUCUAAACUUUGAUUAAGAAAUUCCUCUGUGACCCAGACCAGGAUUAGCAGUUGGCUUGAUGGAGGAAUAGGUGGAUGGAUGAUAUAAAAGUGAUUUCUAUUUUGAAAUUCUAGAACUAUACUUGCUCUUGAUAUUUUCUUUGAGUAAAUAAAGGAAGUAGAUGCAACUAAUAAAAAUACAGAUAAUUUGAGGGAAGGAGUUAAUUAACUUCUCCAUUAAAGAAUUUGAGGUAAAAUUGUACCUCAUUUGAUUCGGUCUGUGACCUUUAGACACACAGACACUAACACAUUCUCUAAGGCCACAGCAGGCCACAUUCUCUGAGACCACAGCAGCUUCAGACAGCUGCAUGAUCAAUCUUCACCAUCUCUCACAGGAGAA